GACGAACGCUGGCGGCGUGCUUAACACAUGCAAGUCGAGCGGUAAGGCCCUUUCGGGGGUACACGAGCGGCGAACGGGUGAGUAACACGUGGGUGACCUGCCCUUAGCUCUGGGAUAAGCCUGGGAAACUGGGUCUAAUACCGGAUAUGACUCCAUGACGCAUGUUGUGGGGUGGAAAGCCUUGUGCGGCUAGGGAUGGGCCCGCGGCCUAUCAGCUUGUUGGUGGGGUGAUGGCCACCAAGGCGACGACGGGUAGCCGGCCUGAGAGGGCGACCGGCCACACUGGGAC
Molecule: ribosomal RNA, 289 nt
Filed under: uncultured bacterium
Lineage: Bacteria
Description: partial 16S ribosomal RNA
Rfam family: Bacterial small subunit ribosomal RNA
Source: RNAcentral